This 152-nucleotide ribosomal RNA is filed under the name Citrobacter freundii. RNAcentral describes it as "partial 16S ribosomal RNA". It matches the Rfam family "Bacterial small subunit ribosomal RNA", at positions 337 to 485 of the family's 1533-position model. The record is from RNAcentral. RNAcentral also lists the same sequence under 1 other name. Lineage: Bacteria; Pseudomonadati; Pseudomonadota; Gammaproteobacteria; Enterobacterales; Enterobacteriaceae.
UCCUACGGGAGGCAGCAGUGGGGAAUAUUGCACAAUGGGCGCAAGCCUGAUGCAGCCAUGCCGCGUGUAUGAAGAAGGCCUUCGGGUUGUAAAGUACUUUCAGCGAGGAGGAAGGCGAUGAAGGUUAAUAACUGCGAUGACGUACUCGCAGA